RNAcentral lists this ribosomal RNA (1329 nucleotides) under metagenome. Its description in RNAcentral is "bacterial LSU rRNA". It matches the Rfam family "Bacterial large subunit ribosomal RNA", at positions 1570 to 2910 of the family's 2925-position model. The record is from RNAcentral.
GAGCGGCUACGGCCGCGAAGUGGAUGAUGCCAAGCUUCCAAGAAAAGCCCUAUACCCGUUAAGGCAUGAUGGCCUGUACCCGAAACCGACACAGGUGGGGUGGUAGAGAAUACCGAGGGGCGCGAGGUAACUCUCUCUAAGGAACUCGGCAAAAUGGCCCCGUAACUUCGGGAGAAGGGGUGCCACCGCGAGGUGGUCGCAGUGAAGAGGCCCAGGCGACUGUUUACCAAAAACACAGGUCUCCGCUAAGUCGCAAGACGAUGUAUGGGGGCUGACGCCUGCCCAGUGCCGGAAGGUUAAGGAAGCUGGUCUGCGCAAGCGAAGCUGGCGACUGAAGCCCCGGUGAACGGCGGCCGUAACGAUAACGGUCCUAAGGUAGCGAAAUUCCUUGUCGGGUAAGUUCCGACCCGCACGAAAGGCGUAACGAUCUGGGCGCUGUCUCGGAGAGAGGCUCGGCGAAAUAGAAUUGUCUGUGAAGAUGCGGACUACGUGCACCCGGACAGAAAGACCCUAUGAAGCUUUACUGUAGCUUGGUAUUGUGCUCGGGCUCGGAAUGCGCAGGAUAGGUGGGAGGCUUUGAUCCAUUGCUUGCGGGUGAUGGUGAGCCACUGGUGAGAUACCACUCUUUCCGAGCUAGAGUUCUAACAGCAACCCGUUAUCCGGGUGCUGGACAGUAUCAGGUGGGCAGUUUGACUAGGGCGGUCGCCUCCUAAAAGGUAACGGAGGCGCGCAAAGGUCUGCUCAGGCUGGUUGGAAAUCAGCCGACGAGUGUAAAAGCAGAAGCAGGCUUGACUGUGAGACCUACAAGUCGAACAGGGAGGAAACUCGGCUUUAGUGAUCCGACGGUUCUGCGUGGAAGGGCCGUCGCUCAACGGAUAAAAGUUACUCUAGGGAUAACAGGCUGAUCUCCCCCAAGAGUUCACAUCGACGGGGAGGUUUGGCACCUCGAUGUCGGCUCAUCGCAACCUGGGGCUGAAGUCGGUCCCAAGGGUUGGGCUGUUCGCCCAUUAAAGCGGUACGCGAGCUGGGUUCAGAACGUCGUGAGACAGUUCGGUCCAUAUCCGGUGCACGCGCAGGAAUAUUGAGAGGAUUUCUCCCUAGUACGAGAGGACCGGGAGGAACGCACCUCUGGUGUGCCAGUUAUCGUGCCAACGGUAAACGCUGGGUAGCCAUGUGCGGAGUGGAUAACCGCUGAAAGCAUCUAAGUGGGAAGCCCACCUCAAGAUGAGUAUUCCCAUGGCAUAAGCCAGUAAGGUCACGGGAAGAACACCCGUUGAUAGGCUCUACGUGGAAGCGCAGUAAUGUGAAGCGGAGGAGUACUAAUAGACC